This 73-nucleotide transfer RNA is filed under the name Bos taurus (domestic cattle). It matches the Rfam family "tRNA". From Rfam's summary of the family: Transfer RNA (tRNA) molecules are approximately 80 nucleotides in length. Their secondary structure includes four short double-helical elements and three loops (D, anti-codon, and T loops). Lineage: Eukaryota; Metazoa; Chordata; Mammalia; Artiodactyla; Bovidae. RNAcentral also lists the same sequence under 5 other names. The record is from Rfam by way of RNAcentral.
UCUCUGGUGGUCCAGUGGCUAAGACUCUGCACUCCCAGUGCAGGGGAUCCAGGUUCGAUACCUGGUCAGGGAA